CGAGGGGUAACAGGAAAGUGCUUGCACUUUUGCUGACGACCGGCGCACGGGUGCGUAACGCGUAUACAAUCUGCCUUAUACAGGAGGAUAGCCUUUAGAAAUGAAGAUUAAUACUCCAUAGUCUAUUAAUAUAGCAUUAUAUAAAUAGUAAAGCUUCGGCGGUAUAAGAUGAGUAUGCGUCCUAUUAGUUAGUUGGUAAGGUAACGGCUUACCAAGACGACGAUAGGUAGGGGCCCUGAGAGGGGGAUCCCCCACACUGGUACUGAGACACGGACCAGACUCCUACGGGAGGCAGCAGUGAGGAAUAUUGGACAAUGGGCGAGAGCCUGAUCCAGCCAUGCCGCGUGCAGGAAGACGGCCCUAUGGGUUGUAAACUGCUUUUAUAUAGGAAGAAACCAUCUCUCGUGAGAGAUAUUGACGGUACUAUAAGAAUAA
Molecule: ribosomal RNA, 435 nt
Filed under: uncultured bacterium
Lineage: Bacteria
Description: bacterial SSU rRNA
Rfam family: Bacterial small subunit ribosomal RNA
Source: RNAcentral